Long non-coding RNA from Equus caballus (horse), 1341 nucleotides. RefSeq lists it as uncharacterized. NCBI's taxonomy places the organism in Eukaryota, Metazoa, Chordata, Mammalia, Perissodactyla, Equidae. The record is from RefSeq and is a predicted model, not a curated record.
AUAGUCUAAAAAUCUUAAGUUGAUGUCUGCUAAGACCAAGCAAGGACGAGUAUCAAAACUUGCAGGAGUGUCAGUAGCUUGUAAGAAAAUUCCAGAAAAAAAAUAGUGGAACAUUUUUCUAAAUUUUUCAACUUUUUAUUGAUGUGUAAUAUAUACAUAAAGAAAAGUUCAAGUACUGUUAAGUGUACUUAAGCUCAAUACAUCCCUGUUAUCAGCAUCCAAACGAAGAAACAGAACGUUACCGACGCCUUGGAAGCCUCCUUUAUGAGUGGAGAACUCAAGAAAUGCUGCAUCACCAAGGUUCUUAAUGGCACACAGAGUGACGUGUGGAAAAACAUGGGCAUCUAUGAUGCCACAUCAAACGGUAGUUCAGAAGAGUCUAAUUUUGAAUGCAAAGAAGCUUAUGCAGCACCUUAACCAAUUGGUUUCACUUUUUAAAACAUGUACAAGAGUAGCUGGAGACCCAGGAGAGCCAGUGGUAUGAUUCACUCCAAGUCUGAAGGCCUGAGAACAGGAGUGCCAACGUCCCAGGACCGAAGAUGGAUGUCCCAGCUUAAGCAAAAAGAGCAAAUUUGCCCUUCCUCUCCCUUUUUUUCUCUUCAGGCCCUCAAGGGAUUGGAUGAUGCCCAUCCACACUGGUGAGAGUGAUCUUCUUUGCUCAGUCUACCAAUUCAAAUGCUCUCUAUUCUGGAAACAUCCUCACAGACACACUAGGAAAUAAUGUUUUACCGGCUAGCUAUCUGGGCAUCCCUUAGCCCAGUCAAGUUGACACAUAAAAUUAAUCAUCAGAAAAUAUUUUGUAACGUUGCUAUAAAAUGUUUAUACUAAACAUCUUUUUAAAAAUUCUAAUAAAACCUCUAGUUCCAUUCUUAGCAUAUCCAAUUUUGGUGUACCUGCUAUUCCUAAUAUCUAAGUUAACAUGAGAUCCAGGAGUGCUUUAAAAGGGAAUUUGACCAAGGGUUAAAGGAAAAUUAAGGACAAAAUGGGAACCUAAUUCUGCAAAAUGUUACAAAAGGGGAAGUUUAAAGGAAUUACAUGGAAAGUAAACCAAUAAAUUAUAUUUCACAACUUCUUGUUUUAAGGAUACUUGAAUCUUCCUCUUUCAGAAAAUUUUAUAAAGAUUUUACCAUUCUGUGAUAUUUUCAAACAUACAGGAAAAUAUAGAAAAUAACAAAACAGAUACCAAUCUCCCAGAUUUAUUCAAUGUUAAUUUUUGCCAUUUUUUUUUAUUUUAAAGAAAUAGAACAUUAAGAGUGUAAAGCCCCACUUAGCCAUUUUUCCUCCCUUCUUGGGAUAAUGAUUAUCUUGAAAUUAAUACCUAUCACUCCUUUAGUCAUUUUU